UUCCUGCUAUAGUAUAUAGAAUUGGGGGAUCGGCAAAUAUUUUGCACUUUUCUUUUCUGCAGUUAAAAUUCUCUUUUUUGAAAAUAAAAUAAAAUAAAAAAUAUUUGAUACCUAUGCGGGGUUAACGACAUGGGCAUGUAAUCAUCGUUGUAAUCCACCUCUAUUUAGAAAGGAUUUCAAAUGAGUAGACCAAUUCUCAUUCUUUUUUUUACUUUUACACGUUACCAGCACUUUGGUUCCUUUGAGACAAAAGAAAAAAAACAUGAAACCCUAAUUUUUCUUUCAACCUAGCGUCGGUGGGCAGCGACCAAAGUGCAACCGACGCACACCCAGGCCCCAGCACCAUCGAAGCCUCCAACCAUUGCUAUCCUCCCACAAGCACCCAUACUAGUGCCGACAACCCCCUCCGCUCAGCACAUCGCACGUAUUCCAGCAAGGCUACGCUCUGACCCAGCCUUGACACACAUCGGCCCCCACCAAGCUCUGCAACCGAAGCCGCCACUGCACGCUUACAAAUCUAAUUCGAUCCGGCAGUGCUAACUACUACCCCAUGCUAACCCCCUGCUUUCUCUCCCACCGGCAGCGACCACCUCGGCUCAUGUUGCGGACAUCUUCACAUGUGGAAAGGAUUAAACCACAUGUUUUGACCCCCAGGCUAACAAGCCUAGAUGCCGAGAUUUCACAUCUCAUGCGCUCAAAUUCUUUGACGCGCCACAUCGACAAAAGCCUUCAAUGGCAAUCUGUGCAAAAAGUAAUGACCAUAAAGUACUGUGGAAUGCACUCAUGGAGCGUUUCUCGAAACGUUCAUAUAACUCUCCUUGUUGAGUUAUUAGUCAAGUGGAUUGCUUACCACCUUAAUUGACUACAUAUUGUCGAUGAUCUUUUGUGGCAUCAUGAUCCAUAAUCUUUAGCGGAUUCGAUAAUCAUCAAGUUCUCUAGGUCCUCCAAGUUGGUGUGGAAUUACCAACGAGACUUGAUUUUGAUCAUACAAACAGGAAUUGUAUAUACGCUAAUGUGAUAAACUUAUUUGGGAUUAUCCCCUAAUGUGGGGACAACAAUAUGGGUCAUGGCAACGGCAGAAAAUGU
RNAcentral lists this long non-coding RNA (1086 nucleotides) under Fragaria vesca (wild strawberry). Its description in RNAcentral is "long non-coding RNA (FVES_LNC004900)". Lineage: Eukaryota; Viridiplantae; Streptophyta; Magnoliopsida; Rosales; Rosaceae. The record is from RNAcentral.